AAGUGCGUGACGCUCGUCAGUGGCUUCAGUUCACACGUGGCGCCAGCGGAGGCAGGUUGCGGUGCUUGUGCUUCCUUCUACAGCCAACAUGAAAAGGCCUAAGUUAAAGAAAGCAAGUAAACGCAUGACCUGCCAUAAGCGGUAUAAAAUCCAAAAAAAGGUUCGAGAACAUCAUCGAAAAUUAAGGAAGGAGGCUAAAAAGCGGGGUCACAAGAAGCCUAGGAAAGACCCAGGAGUUCCAAACAGUGCUCCCUUUAAGGAGGCUCUUCUUAGGGAAGCUGAGCUAAGGAAAGAGAGGCUUGAAGAACUAAAACAGCAGCAGAAACUUGACAGGCAGAAGGAACUAGAAAAGAAAAGAAAACUUGAAACUAAUCCUGAUAUUAAGCCAUCAAAUGUGGAACCUAUGGAAAAGGAGUUUGGGCUUUGCAAAACUGAGAACAAAGCCAAGUCGGGCAAACAGAAUUCAAAGAAGCUGUACUGCCAAGAACUUAAAAAGUUCUGGUCAUUUUUUCCUUGAUAGGUGAUUGAAGCCU
RNAcentral lists this small RNA (533 nucleotides) under Pan troglodytes (chimpanzee). RNAcentral describes it as "processed transcript". The record is from RNAcentral. Lineage: Eukaryota; Metazoa; Chordata; Mammalia; Primates; Hominidae.